This is a small nuclear RNA of Myotis daubentonii (Daubenton's bat), 191 nucleotides long. RefSeq annotates it as U2 spliceosomal RNA. Lineage: Eukaryota; Metazoa; Chordata; Mammalia; Chiroptera; Vespertilionidae. The record is from RefSeq and is a predicted model, not a curated record.
AUCACUUCUCAGCCUUUUGGCUAAGAUUAAGUGUAGUAUAUGUUCUUAUCAGUGCAAUAUCUGAUAUGUCUUCUAUCUGAGAAUAAUAUAUUAAAUGGAUUUUUGGAGCAGGGAGAUGGAAUAGAAGCUUGCUCCAUCCACUCCAUGCAUCAACCCAGUAUUGCAGUACCUCUGGGAAUGGUGAAUAAAAA